RNAcentral lists this ribosomal RNA (449 nucleotides) under uncultured bacterium. Its description in RNAcentral is "partial 16S ribosomal RNA". It matches the Rfam family "Bacterial small subunit ribosomal RNA", at positions 29 to 523 of the family's 1533-position model. The record is from RNAcentral.
AACGAACGCUGGCGGCAUGCCUAAUACAUGCAAGUCGAACGAGAUCUUCGGAUCUAGUGGCGCACGGGUGCGUAACGCGUGGGAAUCUGCCCUUGGGUUCGGAAUAACAGCGGGAAACUGCUGCUAAUGCCGGAUGAUGACGUAAGUCCAAAGAUUUAUCGCCCAGGGAUGAGCCCGCGUAGGAUUAGCUAGUUGGUGGGGUAAAGGCCUACCAAGGCGACGAUCCUUAGCUGGUCUGAGAGGAUGAUCAGCCACACUGGGACUGAGACACGGCCCAGACUCCUACGGGAGGCAGCAGUAGGGAAUAUUGGACAAUGGGGGCAACCCUGAUCCGGCAAUGCCGCGUGAGUGAUGAAGGCCUUAGGGUUGUAAAGCUCUUUUACCCGGGAUGAUAAUGACAGUACCGGGAGAAUAAGCCCCGGCUAACUCCGUGCCAGCAGCCGCGGUAA